AGUAGUGCAAUUAAAUUAGUUCGGUGAAUAGUUAAGGUAUUUUUUAUAGUGUAAUAGCGGGUUUAUUAGGUGAAAUUUUAAAUUUGAACUAUACUAAAAAAGAGAUUUUGAAACUAUGUAAUUUUUUUAAUAAACUAGGAUUAGAUACCCUAUUAUUGGAAAUGUAAAUAUAAAUACUUGAAUAUUAGUAGUUAUGUGCUUGAAACUUAAAGGAUUUGGCGGUAUUUUAGUCUGUUCAGAGGAACCUGCCCUGUAAUUGAUGGUCCACGAUUUAUUGAACUUAUUUUAUAGGUUUGUAUAUCGUCGUAGUUUGAAUGUUUUUUAAGAAUUUUAAUGUUCAGGAUUCAUUAUUGAAUGAGGAAAAUCAGAUCAAGGUACAGCGCAUAGAUAAGUAGAGGUGGGUUACAAUAAAUUAAUUUAAAUGGUUAGUAUAAUUAAAAUUAUAGUAUAAAGUGGAUUUGAGAGUAAAAUAAUUUAGUUAAAUUAUUUGAUAUUAGCUCUAAAAUAUGCACAUAUCGCCCGUCGCUCCCCCUUCAAGGGGGGAUAAGUCGUAACAUAGUAGGUGUACUGGAAAGUGUACCUAGUAAGG
RNAcentral lists this ribosomal RNA (589 nucleotides) under Polyphylla laticollis mandshurica. Its description in RNAcentral is "12S ribosomal RNA". Lineage: Eukaryota; Metazoa; Arthropoda; Insecta; Coleoptera; Scarabaeidae. The record is from RNAcentral.